CUACGGGGGGCAGCAGUGGGGAAUAUUGGACAAUGGGGGAAACCCUGAUCCAGCAAUGCCGCGUGUGUGAAGAAGGCCUGCGGGUUGUAAAGCACUUUCGGUUGGGAGGACUGCUUCUAGCACUAAUAUUGUUGGAAGUUGACGUUACCUUCAGAAGAAGCACCGGCUAACUCCGUGCCAGCAGCCGCGGUAAUACGGGAGGGUGCAAGCGUUAAUCGGAAUUACUGGGCGUAAAGCGCGCGUAGGCGGCUAGAUCAGUCGGGUGUGAAAGCCCCGGGCUUAACCUGGGAACUGCAUCCGAUACUGUCUAGCUUGAGUACAGGAGAGGAGAGUGGAAUUCCACAUGUAGCGGUGAAAUGCGUAGAUAUGAGGAGGAACACCAAUGGCGAAGGCAGCUCUCUGGCCUGAUACUGACGCUGAGGUGCGAAAGCGUGGGGAGCAAACAGGAUUAGAUACCCUUGUAGUC
Molecule: ribosomal RNA, 466 nt
Filed under: uncultured bacterium
Lineage: Bacteria
Description: partial 16S ribosomal RNA
Rfam family: Bacterial small subunit ribosomal RNA
Source: RNAcentral